This 241-nucleotide ribosomal RNA is filed under the name uncultured Staphylococcus sp. Its description in RNAcentral is "partial 16S ribosomal RNA". It matches the Rfam family "Bacterial small subunit ribosomal RNA", at positions 99 to 334 of the family's 1533-position model. Lineage: Bacteria; Bacillati; Bacillota; Bacilli; Caryophanales; Staphylococcaceae. The record is from RNAcentral.
CGGACGGGUGAGUAACACGUGGAUAACCUACCUAUAAGACUGGGAUAACUUCGGGAAACCGGAGCUAAUACCGGAUAAUAUUUUGAACCGCAUGGUUCAAAAGUGAAAUACGGUCUUGCUGUCACUUAUAGAUGGAUCCGCGCUGCAUUAGCUAGUUGGUAAGGUAACGGCUUACCAAGGCAACGAUGCAUAGCCGACCUGAGAGGGUGAUCGGCCACACUGGAACUGAGACACGGUCCAG